RNAcentral lists this ribosomal RNA (487 nucleotides) under uncultured bacterium. RNAcentral describes it as "bacterial SSU rRNA". It matches the Rfam family "Bacterial small subunit ribosomal RNA", at positions 32 to 507 of the family's 1533-position model. The record is from RNAcentral.
AACGCUGGCGGCGUGCUUAACACAUGCAAGUCGAACGAAAGGACGGGAAGAGCUUGCUCUUUCCGGAAUUGAGUGGCAAACGGGUGAGUAACACGUAAACAACCUGCCUUCAGGAUGGGGACAACAGACGGAAACGACUGCUAAUACCGAAUAAGUUCCAAGAGCCGCAUGGCCCAUGGAAGAAAAGGUGGCCUCUACCUGUAAGCUAUCGCCUGAAGAGGGGUUUGCGUCUGAUUAGGCAGUUGGUGAGGUAACGGGCCCACCAAGGCGACGAUCAGUAGCCGACCUGAGAGGGUGACCGGCCACAUUGGGACUGAGACACGGCCCAAACUCCUACGGGAGGCAGCAGUGGGGAAUAUUGCACAAUGGGGGAAACCCUGAUGCAGCGACGCCGCGUGAGCGAAGAAGUAUUUCGGUAUGUAAAGCUCUAUCAGCAGGGAAGAAAAAAAUGACGGUACCUGACUAAGAAGCCCCGGCUAACUACGUG